This 111-nucleotide ribosomal RNA is filed under the name Caerostris darwini. Lineage: Eukaryota; Metazoa; Arthropoda; Arachnida; Araneae; Araneidae. The record is from RNAcentral.
ACGGCCAUACCAUGCUGAAUAUACCGGUUCUCGUUAGAUCACCGAAGUCAAGCAUCAUUGGGCGCGGUUAGUACUUGGGUGGGUGACCACCUGGGAACACCGCGUGCCGUU